AUGAAACCAGCUACAGCUAGGCACUGUGCAAGCAAGUGUUCUGUUUCUUCGGCAGCUCUGUCAAAUGUUGGUGUGCUUCCUCCCUCCCCUGGAGGACCUGGCUUCAGUCUCUCACAAGCAGCAGUUGCCAGCUUCUUCAGCUGGUUUCAAGGCCUGAUGACAUUGACUAAUGGAGAACAGGGAAGCAAUGUCCAAACAGGCUGUACCACCCAGACCACGCUGAUCAAGGAAAAAAAAAUGUGUGAGAAACAGCCCUACAGAUACCAAGGAAGUGACUCAAUGAGAAGUGAACAUCUGCUGGAUAACUUUGCGCUACAUUAUGUAGCUUUACAAGAAGAGAAGAUGUACUGCAGAAAGACUGAUUGGAUCGGGAUUUUAGAGACUGACUACGAAUUUUAUGGACAUUUUGACACUCAUCUAAAGAAAGAUACCAUACAUAGGAGUUAUAUGUGGAGUCAGCUAUUUCAAGAAAUAAAACAUGAUGGACAGAAUUCAUAA
Molecule: long non-coding RNA, 498 nt
Filed under: Anser cygnoides (Swan goose)
Lineage: Eukaryota; Metazoa; Chordata; Aves; Anseriformes; Anatidae
Description: lncRNA (ENSACDG00005011184.1)
Source: RNAcentral